Rana temporaria (common frog) is the source of this 4155-nucleotide RNA transcript. RefSeq lists it as uncharacterized. The record is from RefSeq and is a predicted model, not a curated record. NCBI's taxonomy places the organism in Eukaryota, Metazoa, Chordata, Amphibia, Anura, Ranidae. The transcript is spliced from 2 exons.
UACCACAAGGUACCUCCCCGGGUCCAGCACCUACCUUGGGUACUUCCGAGCCCAGUGUGGGUGGUGUUCCUAGGCGAAACAUCUCUCUUGACAAUUCUCAAGUAACAUUACAAUCACAACAACACAUGAGACAAGGUACCCUUGAUUCCCAUAUCACCACCCAGGUUCCUAAUUUUCACCUAACCAUGAUGACCCCGCCCUUAACCUAACCCCUAAUUCCAACCUAAAUGUCCUGAAUCUUACCCCCUAUUUGUUCUCCUCAGAGGAGCUUGAGGUCCUUCAGCUUGGCCUAAGUUUUUGCCCAUCCAUGAAAAGCGAUAAAUACGAAAUAAUUAAAGAUAUUUAUCUUUUUUGUCGCAACUUAACAUACAAAUUUUUAUUUGAUGAAAAUCGCUUACGUAAUAUCCAAGAAAAACAUAUGACUGAACAAGUGAAAAAUUUCACUAUGGACGAUUUUAGAGCCCUUAGGGACCUCAUGCUCCUCCUUGACGAAAACACAUCCCCUCCCCCCGAUCCUCUCCCUUGUUCGGAAUCACUGUCAUCUACUAUAUCUUCUAAUCCUUCUACCAAAAAAUUCAAAUUAAAAUCCCAACGCUUUCCAGACUUAACAAGCAAUUCAAAUAUAUGGGCUUUCCUUCUAAGUACUAUAAAUGAUUGUAAACAAAUGGACACCAAUGUAUUGACUAAUAAUCUCUCUAAAAAACAACGACAAGCUAUCAUGAACCUUCAAAACCAUCCGGAUCUUGAGAUAAAAGCGUCCGACAAGGGAGGUAAUGUGGUCCUUAUGACCAAGGCCAAUUAUGAGAAAAUGGUAUUCCACAUCUUAAACAACAAAGAGUGGUAUAGACGUAUCAACGAUACACAAAUAGCUCUAUUUAAAAAUGAAUUCCUAUCCAUUAUUGGCCUUGCUCAUCAAAGAGGUCUCAUAGACCAAGACUUGUACAACUACCUUAAUAUUCGCAACCCAAGAACUGCAACUUUCUAUGCAUUACCCAAAAUCCACAAACACCCUCUUACUCCCCCAGGUAGACCGAUAGUGUCCGGCAUAGGUUCCUUGACUGAAAAUGCCAGUCGGUUUGUAGACUCCAUCCUCAUGCCCCAUGUACUUACUUUGCCCUCGUAUACCCGAGAUACCCUGGACCUUCUUAAACAAAUUGAGGAUAUGGUCGUGCCUCGGGAUGCCCUCCUCGUGACCUUGGACGUGGAGGCAUUGUACUCCAGUAUCCCUCACGAGUUGGGCAUCUCGACAGCACGUACCUUCCUCCGUGAACAGGACCAUCACCAUUGGAACUAUAUUGAUUUUGUAAUAGACCUUUUACGAUUUAUUCUUACACGUAAUCAUUUCGUUUUCAAAGAGUCCCACUUCCUCCAGGUACAGGACGUAGCCAUGGGCACUUGCUGUGCCCCUGGCUACGCCAAUCUGUACCUGGGGGGGUGGGAACGUGAUAUUUUUUCGGAUGAGGACUUGUCGAUGUACACUGGCCAUGUGAUCAACUGGCUUAGGUACAUCGACGACAUCUUCAUCAUCUGGUCAGGUACUAGUCCCCAACUAUAUCAAUUUAUCGAUAUUCUUAAUGUUAAUGAACGCAACUUAAAAUUCACGUUCACUGCAUCUUCAGACCAGGUCACCUUUCUUGACCUCACCAUCUUAAAGGAUGGCGAUGGCAGAAUUACCUCCUCUCUCUUUAGAAAGGAGACUGCAGGUAACACCCUACUACACGCCACUAGUGCACAUCCAACUAACCUCCUUAAAAGCAUACCUUAUGCACAAUACCUUCGUUUACGAAGGAAUUGCACUAUGACAAAAGAUUUCCUGUUACAGGCUAACCUACUCAGGCAACGGUUGUUGUUGAGAGGUUACAGUAAAUCCUUACUACGGAAAGCAUUCAAUAAGGCUGCACGACAAUCUCGUAUCAACUUAUUAUUUAAACAAAAAGUCAAUACAGAGUCGCAACCAGUAAGAUUCAUAACGCGGUACUCAAGCCAUCACAUCGAGGUGCGUAAUAUUCUAAAUAAACAUUGGUCACUUUUGACUAACGAUCCCAUCCUCAGUAAUUACAUUGGCCAAAGACCAGAUAUUACUUUCAAAAGAUCUCGCUCACUCAGAGAUAAAUUGACUUCUAGUCACUACAAAACAAAUUCAAAUCAACAACGACCUCCAAAUGGUAUGAUGAGAUGUGGCAGGUGCAAUUUUUGUCCUUGGGUUAGAGAGGGUACUACUUUUUCUUUACCCAAUGGUGAAAUUUUUACCCCCAAUUUUUAUGCGGACUGUAAUACUCAGGGAAUCAUUUACCUUAUGACGUGUAGCUGCCAUGCAUUUUAUGUGGGCAAAACCAUCAGAAACUUCAAGCAUAGAAUUAGGGAUCAUGUUUAUUACUCCUCCCAAGGAAAAAUGGUAACAUCAGUCAGCCGUCACCUUGACCUAUAUCAUAAAUUUAAUACCUCAGUUGCCUCGUUUAUAGUACUUGCUAUUGUCCCCAAAGAUUGCCGUGGAGGCAACUGGGACAAGCAGGUACUCCAAAAAGAAGCUUACUGGAUCGAGCGUUUGGAUGCCUUACGGCCCCCAGGCAUUAAUGAGGCACAGUCCUAUAAAUCCUUCUUGUAGUAACAUUAAGCUAAUUGAUUAUACUUUUAUUUUUGAAAUUUUCUAUUCAUUUUUUUCUAUUAGCACCUAAGUACUACUCUGGACCUUUCUGAUUGCCUUGUCACCAUGGCCUUGUCAUUUGCAGAACUAGAUGUCAGAGUAGCCAAUCAUAUCGCUCAUUUAAUUUAAUUAUGUCCUUAGAUCACCGGUUUACUGGGAUUUUUUCCAGUUGUCCUUCUCUUUGUGUUCAUUUACUGUACCCCUGUUUUCUAUACGAGGUCCUCUAUGCUGUAUAAUUAAAUAACAUGUGUACAUUUGGAAGAUCUAUCCACUUCCAUACCCUAUAAAUAAAUACUAAUGUUUUUUGCAUUUAAUAUGGUUGUGCUCCUUUUCUGCAAUUGUGGUGAAAUUUGGAUGGUAAUAUCCUCCCCCCUGUGAUCUCUUCCAGACGUGAUGCCCCUUUCUAUGUCCCUCCUAUUUAUUCCAUGCGAUGUGGCCGCUUGAGAUACAGCUUUUCCAUCCUUGUUGUAUCUCAAUAUGUCCACUAGAUGGCGUCCAAUCGCCAUCGAAUGGUGCAUAAACUUCAGUACUGCGCGCGCACCGCAUCUGGUGCGCGCGCACCUGCAGUUACUUUGCGGCCAGCACAGAUGACAUCACCCGGCAGCGCCGCGGUAGUUGUCGAUCUGGGGCGGGACUCGAGGCUAUUUAAAGCCCUUAAGCCCUACACACUAUCCGCAACCUCUUGUGAGGCAUACGAACCAACGGCACGUGUGGCGAGUGUUACAUACUGGUAAGCCUAAUUCUCUAUCUCUAAACAUGCCCUCCAUACUUUUGUGUGGCCGAUUCAUUAGGCUCACAGUCUCCUUUCCUCUAUAUUUUGUUUCAGUGACUGGUCUAUCGUGGCAACCCCUGCCCCUGUCUCCUUGAAUUGCUCUAAAGAUUGACACUGGGUUUUUUUCAAACACCCUAAACUUAUACUCGCUGAAUGCAGUCUUGUUAUGAGCCAUUGCAAACUCUAUAUAUAAAUGGUUCCAAAUAUUGGCACAUUGACUCCACUAAGUCCUUCGAGGAAGCGCUCAGAUACAGCGCGAAACAUGUCAGGACUCCGAUCAACCCAGCGCAAGUGCUAAAAAUCUCCAGUUGCUGAUGAUUUUCUUUAGAAGCUUUUGUAUUUAUUUAUGGUUCCAACUAUUAGUCCACUUUUGGACAUCUAGUCUAGUAUUAUAUCAAUUGGUGCUAGUACUGUACAACCAGAUUUAAUCUUCUAAGCUACAUCAAUUACUGUGAACGCUGUACUGAUCAAAUGCUAUGUGUAAUUUAUGUGUACUCUUUGGAGGAAAACUUUUAAAAUAUAUAUUUUUUUGUAAUAAAUAUUUUUAUAUAUAAAGUCAGUUUUCGAAAGACUCAUAUCUUUACUAACUUAUCAUGCCGACAAAGUCCAUGACUAGCCCCUAAGUCAUUCCCUUUUUCAAAAUUUGUUCAGGACGUGGCAUAUGCGAAAACAUCAUGCAUCCACAUGUGCACUACAUGUGAGGAUGUAUUAAUUCUUUAAAGCCUCAUAAUUGGUGCCA